Xenopus laevis (African clawed frog) is the source of this 2047-nucleotide long non-coding RNA. RefSeq lists it as uncharacterized. The transcript has 3 exons. The record is from RefSeq and is a predicted model, not a curated record. NCBI's taxonomy places the organism in Eukaryota, Metazoa, Chordata, Amphibia, Anura, Pipidae.
UUUAAGAAAUGAGGGAACUCCCCAUACUUUGUGCUUUCAGACUGUAUUUUCACUUAUAUCCUGUACUUCUCAGCAUCUAUCAGUACAAUAAAUGCCGUGCGGAUGAUUGAAGGAGAGAAUGUGUGAGCCUAGUGUAGAAGGACACAUUAGUCAUGAUGUGACUCUCAGUGAGGCAUAGGCAUUGGGAAGGGCCGUGCCCUGGCUGCACAAAAACACACUCAUUGCUCUCAUGUAAUAAAGCAGUGUUACACGACACCAGUCUGAACCAGCUGCUCUCUCCCCUGGGAUGUUCUCUCUAUAGAACACUACUUCUGAGAUCCGCCCGCCCUCCAAAGCCCCUUUUCACUAGCCCCCUCCCCCAUUUCACAGCACAUGGGGGGUGUUAUUGCAUGCUGCAUAGGGGGUUGCACUCAUUUACUCAUCAUCUAUAUGCCAGCAAGUUAGCACAGCACUGCAACUCCCACAAUCCUAAAGAUCUGUAUUGAGUUUUGUGUUUACUGUAUGCUCAGAUGCCCUGUUGUAUGGAUCUCUAAUCUGAAUUCUAUGUCACAAAACUCCCAACAGAGGCCGGGAAUCAGACUUCUGUCCCUGUGAGGGUGUAUAAGCAAGGGGGCUGAAGUGCACUUACAGUCUAAAGUGACCUGGGUUUUGCUCGACCAUUGCUAGUUGUUGUUUACCGUUCCAGUUCCCCUCCUUCUUCCUCAUUGGUUUCUCCUCGGAUAACAAAGAAGAAGACAUCUCCAUGUCCAACAUCAUGAAUUGCAGCGAUACAUCCCGACUGAGGAGUCUUUUGACUCAGCUUCUUCAGGAACUUGGCAAGGCCAACAGCACCAGUGCCCCGGCGGAAGAUGUAGAUAGCGACGAUGCCUACAUGUAUAUUCUGCUCAUCAUGAUCUUCUAUGGAUUCAUGGCCGGUGGUCUUAUAAUGGCUUAUACCAGAUCCAGAAAGCAGGAGUCCAAAAACGACCCUUACCACCUGUACAUAGAAAGUGAAUGGGCUAAGAAAGCCAAGAAUAUGCCUACUGCUUUGGAUUGCCAGCAAAGGGGCAGUAUUGAAAGUGAACAGUUAUUAUAAAGACGUUAUAACGCAGUAACAUGAUGGCCCUCAGUCCAUAAAGAUAUGGGCAGACCUUGUACUUUGGCUGGUCUCAGAGUGGAUUCCAGUUGGGCUCAGAAAUUCCUAUACUCAAAAUGCUACUGUGUAUCCUGUAAAGCAAAAUGCAUGAAUCAAAUGCAUAUAUAAGAAGAUGGUUGUUGCAGGCUGUCCAGUUGGAUAAUAUUGUAGCUGUAGAGAGUUGCAAAUUGAUCUCAGCCCAGCAUCACAUAUGUUAACCCUUUCCCGGAUAUCUGAGGGUCUAUCUAGAGCUGGGAAUAAACAUUUUAAAGCUGUGCUUGCAUGGACAAGGCUAACUGUGUUCUUUCUCUCUCUCGUAAAGUGCCGGGUUUUAUGGCUGGAAAUGAAGCUAUUUUUAUAUCACUGCACAUUGUUUUGGAAUCUUGUAUUAAACCCAUUGUUUACAUUAAAAAUUGCUGUAGGAUUUGGAUAUCUGGAUCCAUUUGUAGAAUGUUGUAAACUGUUGCAGUCACAAAUACAAAAAUGCUGGCUUUAACAGAUACACUCUCUGUGCACUUCAGUGCAUAGUCCCACUCAAAUGUACAGAUGCAGAAAAGGGCUGGUAUUUAGUAAAUACGUGUAACCUUUACACUUUACUCUAGUAUGAAAUUGGUAUCUUUUUUCCAGUAGGGGAAAAGAAUCAUAUACAUCUAAAUCAUCAGGAUAACAGUCAAUUGCUGCCUGCUUAGCAUCCCAGUGUAACAGUAGCAUGCUAGGGGCUAACAUUAACAUGGCAAAUAUGUGCGCAUAUGCAGUAAUCUGUUAUUCAGUUCAGUUGAAUGCAGUUAUGGUAAUGGCCUUGCUUUUUAUGUGUUAAUGUACUGGGCCAAAUAUGCAUCCUGUCACUGCCUAAGCCCAUUUGCUUCUGACACCACAGGUAAUUGAAUUUUUUGUUUGUUGUGGAUAAAAUAAAGGCAUGGCAUGUUGAAAUAA